UAGUCUAGUGGUUAGGGUAUUUAACUCCCAGUCGAAAGAUUCUGGGUUCGAUCCCCAAUAGCAAC
This is a non-coding RNA of Merluccius polli (Benguela hake), 65 nucleotides long. The record is from the annotation of a GenBank genome assembly. NCBI's taxonomy places the organism in Eukaryota, Metazoa, Chordata, Actinopteri, Gadiformes, Merlucciidae.